This 66-nucleotide transfer RNA is filed under the name Meropathus sp. BMNH 675618. RNAcentral describes it as "tRNA-Asn". Lineage: Eukaryota; Metazoa; Arthropoda; Insecta; Coleoptera; Hydraenidae. The record is from RNAcentral.
UUAGUUGAAACCAAAUUAGAGGUAUAUUACUGUUAAUAAUAUUAUUGAGAUAUUUCUCCAACUAAA